Molecule: ribosomal RNA, 462 nt
Filed under: uncultured bacterium
Lineage: Bacteria
Description: partial 16S ribosomal RNA
Rfam family: Bacterial small subunit ribosomal RNA
Source: RNAcentral
GACGAACGCUGGCGGCGUGCUUAACACAUGCAAGUCGAACGGAAAGGCCCUUCGGGGUACUCGAGUGGCGAACGGGUGAGUAACACGUGGGUGAUCUGCCCUGCACUUUGGGAUAAGCCUGGGAAACUGGGUCUAAUACCGAAUAGGACCGCGCGCUUCAUGGUGUGUGGUGGAAAGCUUUUGCGGUGUGGGAUGGGCCCGCGGCCUAUCAGCUUGUUGGUGGGGUACUGGCCUACCAAGGCGACGACGGGUAGCCGGCCUGAGAGGGUGACCGGCCACACUGGGACUGAGAUACGGCCCAGAAUCCUACGGGAGGCAGCAGUGGGGAAUAUUGCACAAUGGGCGCAAGCCUGAUGCAGCGACGCCGCGUGAGGGAUGACGGCCUUCGGGUUGUAAACCUCUUUCACCAGGGACGAAGCGCAAGUGACGGUACCUGGAGAAGAAGCACCGGCCAACUACGUG